This 1054-nucleotide long non-coding RNA is filed under the name Oryctolagus cuniculus (rabbit). RNAcentral describes it as "lncRNA (ENSOCUG00000032910.1)". Lineage: Eukaryota; Metazoa; Chordata; Mammalia; Lagomorpha; Leporidae. The record is from RNAcentral.
AUGCAAAAACUAGUAUUAAUAAAUAUUUAUUCUUUAUUUGAAAAACAGAACAAGCAGACAGUUGAACAAAGAGAACUCCCACCUGCUCCCUCUCUCCCCAAAACCUAUAGAGCCAGGAAAUCAAUCUGGGCAGCAGGGUUCCCAUCACGAGGGCUGUUACCUGAUGCCUCCCAGAAUACACAUGAGGAGGAAGCUGGAAUUGAAAUUGGAGCCCAGGCUCAAACCCAGGAACUUCUACAUGAAAUUUCAACAACCCAAAGCCGUCGCAUCUGAAGUCUGAAUCCGAGGGUCUUGCCAGAGCGGAUGCACUUGCGGAGCAACCCUGGAGAAAACGGGAGACAUCCGGAUUCCUCAUCUGGGCGAGGAUUCCAAUCUCAGAAUCCUCCUGUCUGCGACCUGGGAAGAUCCAAUCUGUAACUCUGGGGACGAAGAGGAAGCUUUGUUGCAGAUGCAGAGUUCUCGUCCCAUCCGUAAGGUCUUUGGUCUCCUUCAAACUCCCGGAGGUUCACCCUUGGAGCAAUCGAGACCAAUUAGGCCAUCUGUAUUUGUCCGCACAAAUUCAGUAUGGGCCCGGUGUCUGAUGUCUUUUUGUUAAUUAGUGUUUGUCUCCAUUGUAUUUCUAUUGACGACUGAAUUGACGGGAUGGAAAAUAGGCGUGACUCCUUCCUCUCCAUUAGACUUGACCCUUGUACAUUGGAAAGAUGUUUAAAAAGGUGGCUCAUAACAACAGUGUAAAUGUUAAGAAAAACAAGUGGGUUAGUUUCUGCAGCUUGGAAUGGCCUACUCUGGAUGUGGGCUGACCCCAAGAAGGAAAGUUUAACUUGACUAUUAUUUCUAAAGUUGAAGAUUUGAUCUUUCAGCCUCGAACCGGACACCUGGAUCAGGUACCCUACAUUGUAAACUGGAGGAGUCUCGUCGAACAGGUAGAUGGACCCCUCCCCUGGGUCUGAUCCUUUAUACAAACUUCCCCAAUACCAGUUUCUAAUCCAUCUACUCCCUCACAGGUGCUCCCUGUAAAACCAAAAGAAAAAGAAUAAAAACCGCCCAUUCUCCA